This 399-nucleotide ribosomal RNA is filed under the name uncultured bacterium. RNAcentral's name for it is "bacterial SSU rRNA". It matches the Rfam family "Bacterial small subunit ribosomal RNA", at positions 355 to 745 of the family's 1533-position model. The record is from RNAcentral.
UGGGGAAUAUUGGACAAUGGGCGCAAGCCUGAUCCAGCAAUGCCGCGNUGGGUGAAGACGGCCUGCGGGUUGUAAAGCCCUUUAGGUGGGGAAGAAGGAGGCUGGGUGAAUAGCCGAGUCUUUUGACAUUACCCACGGAAUAAGCACCGGCUAACUCCGUGCCAGCAGCCGCGGUAAUACGGAGGGUGCGAGCGUUAAUCGGAAUGACUGGGCGUAAAGCGUGCGUAGGCGGUAACGUCAGUCAGUCGUGAAAGCCCUGGGCUUAACCUGGGAAUGGCGAUUGAGACGGCGUAACUCGAGUGGGCUAGAGGACUGUGGAACUCCCGGUGUAGCGGUGAAAUGCGUAGAGAUCGGGAAGAACACCGAUGGCGAAGGCAGCGGUCUGGGGCCACACUGACG